ACAUCUCAACUCCUCACGGUUUGCCCGUGAUGAGCUUGGACUUUGGGGGUCUUGCCGGCCUGCAGGUCGGCUCCUCUCAAACGAAUCAGCUUGCCGGUGUUUGGUGGGCGUCACGGGUGUGAUAACUAUCUACGCUUGUGGUCUUCCACCAGAUAACCUCCAGCCAUGGGGGUUCACUGGAGCUCACAAAUGUCUCUCCUCGGCGAGGGACGGCUCUUUGAAC
This 223-nucleotide unclassified non-coding RNA is filed under the name uncultured Thelephoraceae. Its description in RNAcentral is "sequence contains ITS2". The record is from RNAcentral. Lineage: Eukaryota; Fungi; Basidiomycota; Agaricomycetes; Thelephorales; Thelephoraceae.